GAUCGCAUAGCGCAGUGGAUUAGCCCAUUUGACUUCAGAUCAGAAGGUCGUGGGUUUGACUCCCACUGUGGUCA
This is a non-coding RNA of Cucurbita maxima (winter squash), 74 nucleotides long. NCBI's taxonomy places the organism in Eukaryota, Viridiplantae, Streptophyta, Magnoliopsida, Cucurbitales, Cucurbitaceae. The record is from the annotation of a RefSeq genome assembly.